This 203-nucleotide unclassified non-coding RNA is filed under the name Hevea brasiliensis (rubber tree). Lineage: Eukaryota; Viridiplantae; Streptophyta; Magnoliopsida; Malpighiales; Euphorbiaceae. The record is from RNAcentral.
GCACAUCACUCACUUUCAAUACCAAUCUAAAUCGUUUGUCGAUCAGUAGACUCAUCCUCAAUUUCGUUACGAUCAUCUUUAUGAUUUAGCUCAUCAAGAUACUGUUGAUAAGCAUAAGAAGAAAAUCCCCAAAUAGCUAAAACAAUUGAAAUUGCCUUCACCCCACUCAUCUUAUCAUUAAAAAUAAUCACAGACAUAAUCGG